Molecule: RNA transcript, 6248 nt
Organism: Onychostruthus taczanowskii (white-rumped snowfinch)
Lineage: Eukaryota; Metazoa; Chordata; Aves; Passeriformes; Passeridae
Gene: GALNS
Gene name: galactosamine (N-acetyl)-6-sulfatase
Exons: 17
Source: RefSeq, a predicted model, not a curated record
CCCCGAGUAAACCACGUGUAACUUCCUCUUCCUCCUUGCUCUGGGUGUGCCUCGGGCCUCUGAGUAACUGGGCUUCUUGCAAGUGCUUUACUCCCUGCUAAUGGGCUGGGGGGAUUUGGGAGCUUUCGGAGAGCCUUCUAAGGAAACCCCCAACCUGGACCAGAUGGCUGCAGAAGGGAUGCUUUUCCUGGAUUUUUAUACUGCCAGCCCCCUCUGCUCUCCCUCAAGGGCAGCACUGCUGACAGGCCGGCUCCCGGUCAGGAAUGGCUUUUACACCACCAAUGGACACGCCAGGAACGCAUACACACCACAGGACAUAGUAGGAGGAAUCCCAGAUUCUGAAUUACUGCUUCCAGAGCUUCUGAAGAAAGCUGGUUACACCAAUAAGAUCAUUGGCAAAUGCUCAGUGGGAUAAAAGGGACUUGUCAUAGAUCAGAAUCCUUAAGUGAAACAUUAUGUGCAUCUCUGCAGUGGUUUGGGGGAGUGUAGUCCAUCAGUGCUGAUCAUCAGACAGCAUGGGAGAAGACACCAGUGGAAGGAAAAAAUGGAAAACAGUGAUUGGAGAGUAAAUAAAGUGGAAUAUAAGUGAGCACUGGGGCACCUGGGGCACCGGCCCCAGUUCCACCCCCUGAAGCACGGCUUUGAUGAGUGGUUUGGGUCCCCAAACUGCCACUUUGGGCCCUACAACAGCACAGAGCGCCCCAACAUCCCCAUCUACAGGGACUGGGAGAUGGUUGGCAGAUACUAUGAAGACUUCAAAAUUGAUCUAAAGACAGGUGAAGCCAACUUGACUCAGCUCUACCUGCAGGAAGCUCUGGAUUUUAUUAGCAAGCAGCAGGCCAGCCAGCAGCCAUUCUUUUUAUACUGGGCAAUUGAUGCUACCCACGCUCCUGUCUAUGCCUCCAAACAGUUCCUGGGCACGAGUCAGAGAGGGCUGUAUGGGGACGCUGUGCGGGAAAUCGACGACAGCGUUGGGAAAAUCCUGAAGCACCUCCAGCAGCUGGGCAUCAGUGAGAACACCUUUGUGUUUUUCACCUCUGAUAACGGGGCUGCUCUCAUUUCAGCUCCCAAGCAAGGAGGAAGCAAUGGGCCUUUCCUGUGUGGCAAACAAACCACCUUCGAGGGUGGCAUGAGGGAGCCGGCCAUCGCCUGGUGGCCCGGCCACGUCCCUGCAGGAGGGGUCAGCCAUCAGCUGGGCAGUGUGAUGGAUCUGUUCAGCACCAGCCUCUCCCUGGCGGGUCUGCAGCCUCCCAGUGACAGACAGAUUGAUGGCAUCGACCUUUUACCUGUCAUCCUGCAGGGCAAGCUAAUUGACAGGCCCAUUUUCUAUUAUCGUGGCAACGAGCUGAUGGCAGUGAGAGCUGGGCUGUACAAAGCUCACUACUGGACCUGGAGCAACUCCUGGGAGGAGCAUGGCAAGGGCAUCGAUUUCUGUCCUGGCCAGAGGGUGGCUGGAGUGACCACCCACACCCAGGAGGAGCACACCCACCUGCCCCUGCUCUUCCACCUGGGCAGGGACCCUGGUGAGAAGUACCCCUUAAGUUUUGCCAGUGAGGAGUACCAGCGGGCUGUGGAGCACAUCUCGGGGCUGGUGCAGAAGCACAAGGCCACCCUGGUGCCAGGCCAGCCCCAGCUGAACGUGUGUGACCAGGCUGUCAUGAAUUGGGCUCCUCCAGGCUGUGAGAAGCUUGGGAAGUGCCUGAAAGCACCAGAGUCUGAUCCUAAGAAAUGCUCUUGGCCUCACUGAUGGCUGCAGCCCUCCAGAGCUACCCAGAGGCAGCUGGACAUCCAGUUUCCAAUGCCUGCUCCUGCUGGCACUCCUGUUUACACAGGAAGGGUGUGAUGUGUGCAUGAUAUCAUCACUUGCUCUUCCAAAAGGGCCAGUGUUUAUAUUCCUCGUGCUCAGGGUUUAGCCUCUACUCCUCUCUUCCCCCAGUUCUUUCCCUAAAUGGUAACUCCAGUGAGGAUUGGGUCAGCUGUAAAAGCUCUCUGGCCAGCCACAACCCUGCCAUCAGCCCCAUGGAUCACUCCUGCUCCUUGCACCCAGCCUUGCUCACUGGGCUGCCCCAACAGGAGCCACGGGACAGGUCAGGAAACUCAGAGCUGCCAGAGAGCUCUGCCCAAACUGCCCAUGUUUUGUUUGCCUGUAGCUUGUUGUUUUAACAUUUGCUUUCCAUUGUGAACUCUGGACAUCAACUUGUUUUUCCUUUCUCCCCAAAUUUGUGAGUUCUGGGUGCAAACCAGGGAUCCCUCCUGCUCCCAGCUGAGGGGUUUGGAUCCAGGGAGAAUGCCCUCAGUUCCUUCCGUGUGUAGCUGCAAACAUUCCCUAGGUCAUGGUUUAAGGAAAGGUGGGAUUGUGUUCAGGUGAGUGUUGCAUUGGGGUUCCAGCCCCUGCCAGCCUGAAGGGGCUCCAGGAGAGCUGGAGGGGGCUUGGAGGGACAGGACACAGGGAAUGGCUCCCACUGCCAGAGGGCAGGGCUGGAUGGGAUAUUGGGAAGGAAUUCUUCCUUGUAAGAGUGGUGAGGCCCUGGCCCAGGUGCCCAGAGCAGCUGUGGCUGCCCCUGGAUCCCUGGCAGUGUCCAAGGCCAGGUUUGGGCAGGGCUUUGGAGCAACUGGGACAGUGGAAGUGGGGUUGCACUGGGUGAGGUUUCAGGUCUUUUCCAACCCAGACCAUUCCAGGAUUGUAUUGCCAGUUGUUGCUGCAGGACAUUUGUGGGGAGCUGGGGGAUAGGUGUUCAUUUUGGGGCUUCCCUUCAUUUCCAAAAAUCUGGGUCUAAAGCUGGUCCAAGCCACGCUUCCCAUCUCGAGCUCUGGGCUCAGAAAUGCCCCUUGGCACCAGCCCUUGAUUCCUGACCCCGUCUCCAGCACAUGCUCUCCCAGGAAUUCUCCUUGUGCAAACCUUCCCCAGCCUGGCUGCAGCUCUCCUCUAGCCAGAGUUCCUGGGGAACAGGAGCCUUUGCUCAAUCCUGCAGGGCAGAUCCCUGCUCUGCCUUGGAGCCCGUUCCACACCCUUGCCUGUCUCCAAUAAACCUGUCUGGAGCAAAACCAGCCUCCUCUGGCCUCCAGGGCAGCAGCUGGAGGCAGCCUGGGCAUGUUUGGGUUCAGACUGAAAGAGGGGAAGUUUGGGUUGGAUAUAAGGAAGGAAUUGCUCCCUGUGAGGGUGGGGAGGCUCUGGCACAGGGUGCCCAGAGAAGCUUGGAGCAGCCUGGGCUAGUGGAAGGUGUGGGCGUGGAGCAGGGUGAGCUUUUGGAUCCCUUCCCACCCAAACCAUUCCAUGAUUCUCCAUUUGUCCCACCAACAGCUCUCCUUCCAUCCCUCCAGUGUUUUCCACAGCACAGGUGCCCUGUCUGUGUGAUGUUGUGCUGCCUUAGGAAAAUCCAGGUGCUCUGUACCUGGAAACAGCUCAAAUUCCUCCCCAGCUAAGCUUGGAGCUGCUUGAGAGCUCUGCUCUUGUGCCAGCUGUGGUGCUCCCACCAGCUCCAGGCUCCCAGCUGCUGGUUCCUACCCUCCUGUAAUCCCAAAUAUUCCCAUUCCCCCUUCCCAUGCUUUAUGUACCUGUGAUCCCCUCCACAGUAAUUCCUGCUGUGUGUCUCAUGAAGCUGGACAAUCCCAUUAAACUGGAAUGAGAACAACCCUUGGGUCAGCUCUUGCUGUUGCACCUCUCAGAAAUCCCAGCCAGCAUUUCAGGGAUCCCUGCACGUCUGCAAGUGGCAUUUGUUUAUAGCCCACAUUUCUUAGGAUGUUCCUAACUGUCCUUCGAGUGUAUCACGGCAUUUCCAGCUCAUCCAUAACAUUCCUCCUUGUUUAGACACAGCUCAAGGCUUGGGAGAUGUGGCCAGCAGCUCCCUCGGAGGGGAGCUCAGGGCUGGGAGCAGUUGUGGGUCUGUCAGCACGGGAGACCAGCUAAAACCAGGAGCUCCCCGUUUGCUGGGGCUGCUCCACCUCUGCUUUAGGGCUUCUCCAUGCCCAGGGAAGGGAAUGGAGCUGGGAAGGGGCUGGAGAAUCCUGAGGGAGCUGGGGAGGGGCUCAGCCUGGAGAAAAGGAGCUCAGGGGGCUCUCCUGGCUCUGCACAGCCCCUGCCAGGAGGGGACAGGGAACAGGGACAGGAGGAGAGUUGUGCCAGGGGAGGGUCAGGCUGAAUAUCAGGGAAUUUUAUGCAUGGAAAAGGUGAAGAGCAUUGGCACAGGGCAGUGGUGAUAUCCCCAGCCCUGAAAUGCUGAAAACCACGUGGCUGUGCCAUUGGGGUGGCCGUGGUGCUGGGCUGAGGGCUGGACUCCACCAUCUCCGAGGUCUUUCCCAGCCUCGGUGGCUUUGAUUGCACAGUUCUGUCACUGGGACUGUCAGAGCCCUGCACUCACUGUAAAUCUCCACCAGAGGAGGGAGUCCAUGGCUGCAGCUCCCUGGCAAUCCUUGGCAGGCAACAGCACCUGCUGGGGUUUUGUGCUGCUUAGGAAGAGCUCCCCAGGAUCCUGGCCACGCUCCUCAGUCCCCAGAGUUUGCUCUGACACCUCCUCCCUGUGCCCUGCCUGCUGCUUUUUCCUUUGCUCUUUCACAGCUGCACUUUGGAAGAGCCUGCUUUGCCCCUGCAACUUGCUGUGAGCAGCCACGGGGUUUGUCCCCCUCCCAGCACAGCAAUCCCUCAUUCCUGGAGUGAUCUCAGGACACAGAUCCUGGAGGGAAAUGUUGCACUUGAAAGCAAGUAAGUGAAGCCAUGACGUGUCUGUUUAGAGUAAAAGGACAUGAAGCAGAUAAUAAAUUAUCAGGGUUCAAUGUGACAAAGCUUCUGCUUUAAAUUUAAAUUGGAAUAGUUGUUCUACAGCUGGAUAAUAGGAGGAAUUUUAAAUGAAUGCCUUUCCUAAAAUUGUACAGAUUUAAAAGUUGUGAGGCGAAGAACUCAUGAGGAAAAAUAAACUAAUUUAUCAGCAAUGCAGUCUGUGAUUUCACCUGUGAGCCAAGGGAGAACACCUUGCUUUGGGGCACUCUCCCAGAUUCACCUCCUGGAUCACGGGACUGACUGGGGUUAAAAAAUAACUUGGUUUGUUUUCCUGGAAUUAUUUUUACCCUAGAUCAAUCUCCCAGCCCACACAGUGCACUUCAGAGGCUGGGGGAACCCAGGGCCAGCACAGGGUGGGGAUGGUGCCUGCAGCCCCCACUGCCCACUCGGGGCACAAAGUGGCCACAUCUCCCCUUAAAAACCACCCUGAGCUGCUGGCCUGAAACUUCCACCUUUGGAACUGGGGCAGGAGUGGGGCUGGAGGGAUUUCCUGCCCACUCAGGGACCUGCAGCAGCCAAACUGCUCUGGUGGUGGCUUCUGCUCUCGAGCCACGAGGCAGAAAUGCCAAAGGAGUGCUGGAGUUUGGGGCUGUGAUGUUCCUUUCUUUAUGUUUAUUAUGCUGAACGCUAAAAGCUCAAUCUCUUCCUGCCCUAAGAGUCCGAAGAAUUUCUUUCUUGCCUUUAAUUUCCAAUUAGCUGAGCCUCUCAAGCCUCCCAGCUCUGCCCCUGAGGCUCUGUUAUCAUCCCACCCUCCGUGCAGAGAAGCUUCCGAAAUGGAUGGAACUAAUAAUCGUGGAGGAGCUGGGGCUGCACUUCCAGGCUCGGGCUGCAGCACUGGAGCCUUGAUUUCAAAUCCUGCAGCGACAAAUGGAUUAUUUCAGUGGCAAAUUAGUCCCUGGGGACCAGCAAUUUGGGGAGCUGAAUGCUGGAACUGGGAAGCAGCAGAUCAAUUCCCAACACUUAGAGCCAAGGUUAAUGCCCUGCAAACUGUCCUGAGUGCAGCAGUGAGGAGAACACGGCCCUGCCUGGCCAAGGGGGCCUCAGGAAUGUGUCCAAGGGAAAAUGGAGAGCUCUGGAACUAGGCAAGUGAGAGCCAUGGAUUUGCUGGUAAAACCUGGGGGCUGUUCUGGGGCAGUCACAGUGGGAUUUGACUAAAAGAAGUGGAACUGAUGUCUCCAAGAAGGAGGCUGUGGGACUUGGGACAGUGGUGGCAUUGUCACCUGUCACCUCCCAUACCUGUCACCUCCAGCCCUCCCCAGGCAUCAUGGACAGCAUCCCAAAAUUCCUGUUUCACAUAAGGGAUCUCCUCAAGGUUGGACACUCUUAUUUUCCCCAGUGACAACAGCUUUGAAAUAACCCCAAGAAAGAAUUCCAGCAGCUGAGGAAGGACCCACGGAAGCGAUAUCAGCCCCUUGCUGAAGGAUCCUGUGGCCUUCAGGACUUUGAUUGAUCUUCUGGAGGAUCAUGUGAGGGC